GACGAACGCUGGCGGCGUGCCUAAUACAUGCAAGUUGAGCGCUGAAGGUUGGUACUUGUACCAACUGGAUGAGCAGCGAACGGGUGAGUAACGCGUGGGGAAUCUGCCUUUGAGCGGGGGACAACAUUUGGAAACGAAUGCUAAUACCGCAUAAAAACUUUAAACACAAGUUUUAAGUUUGAAAGAUGCAAUUGCAUCACUCAAAGAUGAUCCCGCGUUGUAUUAGCUAGUUGGUGAGGUAAAGGCUCACCAAGGCGAUGAUACAUAGCCGACCUGAGAGGGUGAUCGGCCACAUUGGGAGUGGGACACGGACCAAAAUCCUACGGGAGGCAGCAGUAGGGAAUAUUCGGCAAUGGACGAAAGUCUGACCGAGCAAAGCCGCGUGAGUGAAGAAGGUUUUCGGAACGUAAAACUCUGUUGGUAGAGAAGAACGUUGGUGAGAGUGGAAAGCUCAUCAAGUGACGGUAACUACCCAGAAAGGGACGGCUAACUACGUG
Molecule: ribosomal RNA, 497 nt
Filed under: uncultured bacterium
Lineage: Bacteria
Description: partial 16S ribosomal RNA
Rfam family: Bacterial small subunit ribosomal RNA
Source: RNAcentral